RNAcentral lists this ribosomal RNA (368 nucleotides) under uncultured organism. RNAcentral describes it as "bacterial SSU rRNA". It matches the Rfam family "Bacterial small subunit ribosomal RNA", at positions 526 to 896 of the family's 1533-position model. The record is from RNAcentral.
CGGAGGAUCCAAGCGUUAUCCGGAUUCAUUGGGUUUAAAGGGUGCGUAGGCGGGUUGAUAAGUCAGUGGUGAAAGCCCAUAGCUUAACUAUGGAAUUGCCAUUGAUACUGUUAAUCUUGAGUACAUUUGAUGUGGGCGGAAUAUGACAUGUAGCGGUGAAAUGCUUAGAUAUGUCAUAGAACACCGAUUGCGAAGGCAGCUCACAAAACUGUAACUGACGCUGAGGCACGAAAGCGUGGGGAUCAAACAGGAUUAGAUACCCUGGUAGUCCACGCCUUAAACGUUGAUAACUCGAUGUGUGCGAUACACUGUACGCGUCUUAGCGAAAGCUUUAAGUUAUCCACCUGGGGAGUACGACCGCAAGGUUG